This 468-nucleotide ribosomal RNA is filed under the name uncultured bacterium. RNAcentral's name for it is "partial 16S ribosomal RNA". It matches the Rfam family "Bacterial small subunit ribosomal RNA", at positions 28 to 507 of the family's 1533-position model. The record is from RNAcentral.
GACGAACGCUGGCGGCGUGCUUAACACAUGCAAGUCGAACGGUGAUGCUCCAGCUUGCUGGAGUGGAUCAUUGGCGAACGGGUGAGUAACACGUGAGCAACCUGCCCCAGACUCUGGAAUAUGCGCUGGAAACGGCGUCUAAUACUGGAUACGAAACUGGCCCGCACGGGCAUGGUUUGGAAAGUAUUUCGGUUUUGGAUGGUCUCGCUGCCUAUCAGCUUGUUGGUGAGGUAAUUGCUCACCAAGGCGACGACGGGUAGCCGGCCUGAGAGGGCGACCGGCCACACUGGGACUGAGACACGGACCAGACUCCUACGGGAGGCAGCAGUGGGGAAUAUUGCACAAUGGGCGAAAGCCUGAUGCAGCGACGCCGCGUGAGGGAUGACGGCCUUCGGGUUGUAAACCUCUUUCAGCAGGGAAGAAGCGAAAGUGACGGUACCUGCAGAAGAAGCACCGGCUAACUACGUG